This 474-nucleotide ribosomal RNA is filed under the name uncultured bacterium. RNAcentral describes it as "bacterial SSU rRNA". It matches the Rfam family "Bacterial small subunit ribosomal RNA", at positions 28 to 507 of the family's 1533-position model. The record is from RNAcentral.
GACGAACGCUGGCGGCGUGCUUAACACAUGCAAGUCGAACGGUUUCUAGAGAUAAGCUUGCUUAACUUAGAGAUAGUGGCGACGGGUGAGUAACACGUGGAUAACCUGCCCUUUAGACCGGGAUAACUUUGGGAAACCGGAGCUAAUACCGGAUAGAUUCCUAGAUGCGCAUGCAGCUGGGAGGAAAGGCUAGUAGCCGCUGAAGGAUGGGUCCGCGUCCCAUUAGCUAGUUGGUGGGGUAACAGCCUACCAAGGCGACGAUGGGUAGCCGGCCUGAGAGGGUGGCCGGCCACACUGGGACUGAGACACGGCCCAGACUCCUACGGGAGGCAGCAGUGGGGAAUCUUCCGCAAUGGGCGAAAGCCUGACGGAGCAACGCCGCGUGAGUGAAGAAGGCCUUUGGGUCGUAAAACUCUGUCUUUGGGGAAGAAAAAAAUGACGGUACCCAAGGAGGAAGCCCCGGCUAACUACGUG